RNAcentral lists this ribosomal RNA (427 nucleotides) under uncultured bacterium. RNAcentral describes it as "bacterial SSU rRNA". It matches the Rfam family "Bacterial small subunit ribosomal RNA", at positions 355 to 774 of the family's 1533-position model. The record is from RNAcentral.
UGGGGAAUUUUGGACAAUGGGGGAAACCCUGAUCCAGCCAUGCCGCGUGUCUGAAGAAGGCCUUCGGGUUGUAAAGGACUUUUGUUUGGGAGGAAAACUCACUGGUUAAUACCUAGUGAGGCUGACAGUACCAAAAGAAUAAGCACCGGCUAACUACGUGCCAGCAGCCGCGGUAAUACGUAGGGUGCAAGCGUUAAUCGGAAUUACUGGGCGUAAAGCGAGCGCAGGCGGUUUGUUAAGCCAGAUGUGAAAUCCCCGGGCUCAACCUGGGAACUGCGUUUGGAACUGGCAAGCUAGAGUGUGUUAGAGGGGGGUAGAAUUCCACGUGUAGCAGUGAAAUGCGUAGAGAUGUGGAGGAAUACCGAUGGCGAAGGCAGCCCCCUGGGAUAACACUGACGCUCAUGCUCGAAAGCGUGGGUAGCAAACA